GUUGGUUGGGGUAGGGGGUGGGGGACAGGGUCAGCCCCACCAGAACCAGUGACCAAGUGGGGAGGGGAAAUUCCCCUGAGGAACCCUGGAGUGAAGUUCCUACAAGGAGGAGGAAGAGUUGCUAGGUGGACCAAACUACAGACAUCUACUAUAGUCAUGUGGUGAACUUGGGCAAGGUCACGCCAGGAGCCCAGUUUCCCAGUUCCUAGUUCUCUGUGCACAACCAGGACCCCAGCUCUGCUGGUUGCCUAGGAACCCACUUUUAAGAAAUCACAAAAUGUAAACACAGACUAAAGGAGAAGUAAUCAGAGGACAAUCUUACACGAAGGGGAGAGGUUGAGAAGGCUCCCGGAAAAACGCUCAACUUUUGGACUCUGUUACCAUAUUCACCUUGUCAAAAAGUUUUUAAACUGAUGAAUUACAUUCCAAAGGACUGAAAUAAUUUGCAGAUGUGAUCGAGGAAAUGCUGUUAGUAAUCUUUGAGAAAUUGUAGCAAGUGGGAAUGGCUAGAAGAUUGUACUUGGGCAAAUGUUUGUUGCUGUUUUAGUUGUUCAGUGGUGUCCAACUCUUUGCAACCGCAUAGAUUGUAGCCCACCAGGCUCCUCUGUCCAUUGGAUUUUUCCAGGUGGAUUCUUUACCACUGCAGCACCUGGGAAGUGUCUCUCACCCACCUCCAAGUCUAUAGAUUGACUCCAGGAGAAGAAGCUGAGAGUCAAGCAAGGAUCCUUCAUCAGCGCAAUGAAGAGUUGACUUUCUAGUUGUGGCAUGCGGACUUAGCUGCUCCAGGCAUGUGGGGUCUUAGUUCCCUGACCAGGGAUUGAACCCCAUCCCCUGCAGUACAAGGAGAAUUCUUAGCCACUGGACCACCAAGGAAGUCCCUGGUCAUUCGAUAUUCAGUUAAAAUAUUCUAUUUCUAGAAGCUUGCCAAAGAUUGUCUUGUUCUUUAGUUUAGAACAGAGAUCUACAAACUGUUUAGAUCAAGGGCCAGAUAAUAAAUAUUUUAGGCCUCUUCCUCAGUGAUUCAACUCUGCCACUAGAGGCCCCAAACAGCCACAGACAAAACAUAAAUGAAUGAAUGUAGCUGACUUUCAAUUCAGUUUAUCAACAUGGAAACUUGAAUUUUAUAUCAUGUAUUAAAAAUUAUUCUUCUUUUGAUUUAAAAGAAAUCAAUUUUAUUUUUUAUUUUUAAAAAUAAAAACCCUUCUUAGCUCACUGAUUGUGAAGUGAAUGUCUUUGUGGUAGUAAAAGAAAUCCAUUUGCUUUUUAAAUUUUAAAUGUUUACUUAGCUUUCUGAAUAGGUAAUUUACCAUGGGUCAGAAUUCAGAAGGUACAAAGAAAAAUAUUCCCUGAA
Bubalus bubalis (water buffalo) is the source of this 1351-nucleotide long non-coding RNA. RefSeq lists it as uncharacterized. Lineage: Eukaryota; Metazoa; Chordata; Mammalia; Artiodactyla; Bovidae. The transcript has 3 exons. The record is from RefSeq and is a predicted model, not a curated record.